UCAUUAGUUUUUUAAUUGAAAGCUUGUAUGAAUGGUUUAAUGAAAAAAUUACUGUCUCUAAUUAAAGUUAGAAUUUUAUUUUUAAGUUAAAAAGCUUAAAUAUUUUAAAAAGACGAGAAGACCCUAUAGAGUUUAAUUUAUUAAAAGUUUUAAUAGUUAAGAUAUAAUAUUUUUAUAUAAUUGAAUUGGGGUGAUUAAAAAAUUUGAAAAACUUUUUUUUUAUUUAAACAUAAAUAUAUGAGUUUUUGAUCCAUUAUAUAUAUAUAUAUAUAUAAUUAUAUAUUUAUGAUUAUAAGACUAAAUUACCUUAGGGAUAACAGCGUAAUUUUUUUUGAGAGUUCUUAUCGUAAGAAAAGAUUGCGACCUCGAUGUUGGAUUAAAAUUAAUUUUUGGUGUAGAAGCUAAAA
This 407-nucleotide ribosomal RNA is filed under the name Chilocorus chalybeatus. RNAcentral's name for it is "partial 16S ribosomal RNA". Lineage: Eukaryota; Metazoa; Arthropoda; Insecta; Coleoptera; Coccinellidae. The record is from RNAcentral.